This 468-nucleotide ribosomal RNA is filed under the name uncultured bacterium. RNAcentral describes it as "partial 16S ribosomal RNA". It matches the Rfam family "Bacterial small subunit ribosomal RNA", at positions 28 to 507 of the family's 1533-position model. The record is from RNAcentral.
GACGAACGCUGGCGGCGUGCUUAACACAUGCUAGUCGAACGGAAAGGCCCUGCUUUUGUGGGGUGCUCGAGUGGCGAACGGGUGAGUAACACGUGAGUAACCUGCCCUUGACUUUGGGAUAACUUCAGGAAACUGGGGCUAAUACCGGAUAGGAGCUCCUGCUGCAUGGUGGGGGUUGGAAAGUUUCGGCGGUUGGGGAUGGACUCGCGGCUUAUCAGCUUGUUGGUGGGGGAGUGGCUUACCAAGGCUUUGACGGGUAGCCGGCCUGAGAGGGUGACCGGCCACAUUGGGAGUGAGAUACGGCCCAGACUCCUACGGGAGGCAGCAGUGGGGAAUAUUGCACAAUGGGCGGAAGCCUGAUGCAGCAACGCCGCGUGCGGGAUGACGGCCUUCGGGUUGUAAACCGCUUUCGCCUGUGACGAAGCGUGAGUGACGGUAAUGGGUAAAGAAGCACCGGCUAACUACGUG